CAUCCUCCAAGGCUAAAUACUCCUGACUGACCGAUAGUGAACCAGUACCGUGAGGGAAAGGCGAAAAGAACCCCGGCGAGGGGAGUGAAAAAGAACCUGAAACCGUGUACGUACAAGCAGUGGGAGCCCCACCACUAAGCCAGUGGUGAACUCCACAUACGCAUCCUUUGCUGAGGAUACGGUUAACGGAGCGAAAGCGACGUUCAACCUCAAAAGAAGCAGAGGGGGCUUAGUGGUGGGGUGACUGCGUACCUUUUGUAUAAUGGGUCAGCGACUUAUAUUCUGUAGCAAGGUUAACCGAAUAGGGGAGCCGGAGGGAAACCGAGUCUUAACCGGGCGUUAAGUUGCAGGGUAUAGACCCGAAACCCGGUGAUCUAGCCAUGGGCAGGUUGAAGGUUGGGUAACACUAACUGGAGGACCGAACCGACUAAUGUUGAAAAAUUAGCGGAUGACCUGUGGCU
Molecule: ribosomal RNA, 461 nt
Filed under: Salmonella enterica subsp. enterica serovar Give
Lineage: Bacteria; Pseudomonadati; Pseudomonadota; Gammaproteobacteria; Enterobacterales; Enterobacteriaceae
Description: bacterial LSU rRNA
Rfam family: Bacterial large subunit ribosomal RNA
Source: RNAcentral